ACUCCUACGGGAGGCAGCAGUGGGGAAUUUUGGACAAUGGGCGCAAGCCUGAUCCAGCAAUGCCGCGUGCAGGAUGAAGGCCUUCGGGUUGUAAACUGCUUUUGUACGGAACGAAACGGUGGGCUCUAAUACAGUUUGCUAAUGACGGUACCGUAAGAAUAAGCACCGGCUAACUACGUGCCAGCAGCCGCGGUAAUAC
RNAcentral lists this ribosomal RNA (199 nucleotides) under uncultured bacterium. RNAcentral's name for it is "partial 16S ribosomal RNA". It matches the Rfam family "Bacterial small subunit ribosomal RNA", at positions 335 to 526 of the family's 1533-position model. The record is from RNAcentral.